AGAGUUUGAUCAUGGCUCAGAAUCAACGCUGGCGGCGUGCCUAACACAUGCAAGUCGAACGCGAAAGUGGAGCAAUCCAUGAGUAGAGUGGCAAACGGGUGAGUAACACGUGGGUGACCUGCCUUCGAGCGGGGGAUAACGUCCCGAAAGGGACGCUAAUACCGCAUAACAUCCUGCCUUUUAAGAGGUGGCGAUCAAAGCCGGGGAUUCGCAAGAACCUGGCACUUGAAGAGGGGCCCGCGCCUGAUUAGCUAGUUGGUGGGGUAAUGGCUCACCAAGGCAACGAUCAGUAUCCGGCCUGAGAGGGCGGACGGACACACUGGGACUGAGACACGGCCCAGACUCCUACGGGAGGCAGCAGUGGGGAAUUGUUCGCAAUGGGCGCAAGCCUGACGACGCAACGCCGCGUGGAGGAUGAAGACCUUCGGGUCGUAAACUCCUUUCGAUCGAGACGAAUGGUUUCCGGGUGAACAAUCCGGAAAAGUGACGGUACCGAGAGAAGAAGCCCCGGCUAACUCCGUGCCAGCAGCCGCGGUAAUACGGGGGGGGCAAGCGUUGUUCGGAAUUACUGGGCGUAAAGGGCUCGUAGGUGGCCAACUAAGUCAGACGUGAAAUCCCUCAGCUUAACUGGGGAACUGCGUCUGAUACUGGAUGGCUUGAGUUUGGGAGAGGGAUGCGGAAUUCCAGGUGUAGCGGUGAAAUGCGUAGAUAUCUGGAGGAACACCGGUGGCGAAGGCGGCAUCCUGGACCAACACUGACACUGAGGAGCGAAAGCCAGGGGAGCAAACGGGAUUAGAUACCCCCGUAGUCC
Molecule: ribosomal RNA, 811 nt
Filed under: uncultured bacterium
Lineage: Bacteria
Description: bacterial SSU rRNA
Rfam family: Bacterial small subunit ribosomal RNA
Source: RNAcentral